GGGGAAUAUUGGACAAUGGGCGCAAGCCUGAUCCAGCAAUGCCGCGUGUGUGAAGAAGGCCUUCGGGUUGUAAAGCACUUUUAUCAGGAGCGAAAUCUGCAUGCUUAAUACGUGUGCAGUCUGACGGUACCUGAGGAAUAAGCGACGGCUAACUACGGGCCAGCAGCCGCGGUAAUACGUAGGUCGCAAGCGUUGUCCGGAUUUACUGGGCGUAAAGAGCGCGCAGGCGGCUGGUCAAGUCCAAUGUGAAAUCUCCCGGCUCAACUGGGAAACUGCAUCGGAAACUGAUCGGCUUGAAGGUGGGAGAGGGUAGUGGAAUUCCCGGUGUAGUGGUGAAAUGCGUAGAUAUCGGGAGGAACACCAGUGGCGAAGGCGACUACCUGGCCCAUUCUUGACGCUGAGGCGCGAAAGCUAGGGGAGCGAA
This 424-nucleotide ribosomal RNA is filed under the name uncultured bacterium. RNAcentral describes it as "bacterial SSU rRNA". It matches the Rfam family "Bacterial small subunit ribosomal RNA", at positions 356 to 772 of the family's 1533-position model. The record is from RNAcentral.